GGAAUAUUGCACAAUGGGGGCAACCCUGAUCUAGCCAUGCCGCGUGAGUGACGAAGGCCUUAGGGUCGUAAAGCUCUUUCGCCAGGGAAGAUAAUGACUGUACCUGGUAAAGAAACCCCGGCUAACUCCGUGCCAGCAGCCGCGGUCAUACGGAGGGGGUUAGCGUUGUUCGGAAUUACUGGGCGUAAAGCGCGCGUAGGCGGACUAUUAAGUCAGGGGUGAAAUCCCGGGGCUCAACCCCGGAACUGCCUUUGAUACUGGUAGUCUUGAGUUCGAGAGAGGUAAGUGGAAUUCCGAGUGUAGAGGUGAAAUUCGUAGAGAUUCGGAGGAACACCAGUGGCGAAGGCGGCUCACUGGCUCGAUACUGACGCUGAGGUGCGAAAGCGUGGGGAGCA
Molecule: ribosomal RNA, 395 nt
Filed under: uncultured bacterium
Lineage: Bacteria
Description: bacterial SSU rRNA
Rfam family: Bacterial small subunit ribosomal RNA
Source: RNAcentral